GUAUCAGAAGUGCGAAUGCUGACAUAAGUAACGAUAAAGCGGGUGAAAAGCCCGCUCGCCGGAAGACCAAGGGUUCCUGUCCAACGUUAAUCGGGGCAGGGUGAGUCGACCCCUAAGGCGAGGCCGAAAGGCGUAGUCGAUGGGAAACGGGUUAAUAUUCCCGUACUUGGUGUUACUGCGAAGGGGGGACGGAGAAGGCUAUGUUGGCCGGGCGACGGUUGUCCCGGUUUAAGCGUGUAGGUGUGUGUUCCAGGUAAAUCCGGUUCACUUUAACACUGAGGCGUGACGACGAGGCACUACGGUGCUGAAGCAACAAAUGCCCUGCUUCCAGGAAAAGCCUCUAAGCAUCAGGUAACAUCAAAUCGUACCCCAAACCGACACAGGUGGUCAGGUAGAGAAUACCAAGGCGCUUGAGAGAACUCGGGUGAAGGAACUAGGCAAAAUGGUGCCGUAACUUCGGGAGAAGGCACGCUGACACGUAGGUGAAGUGAUUUACUCAUGGAGCUGAAGUCAGUCGAAGAUACCAGCUGGCUGCAACUGUUUAUUAAAAACACAGCACUGUGCAAACACGAAAGUGGACGUAUACGGUGUGACGCCUGCCCGGUGCCGGAAGGUUAAUUGAUGGGGUCAGCGCAAGCGAAGCUCCUGAUCGAAGCCCCGGUAAACGGCGGCCGUAACUAUAACGGUCCUAAGGUAGCGAAAUUCCUUGUCGGGUAAGUUCCGACCUGCACGAAUGGCGUAAUGAUGGCCAGGCUGUCUCCACCCGAGACUCAGUGAAAUUGAACUCGCUGUGAAGAUGCAGUGUACCCGCGGCAAGACGGAAAGACCCCGUGAACCUUUACUAUAGCUUGACACUGAACAUUGAGCCUUGAUGUGUAGGAUAGGUGGGAGGCUUUGAAGUGUGGACGCCAGUCUGCAUGGAGCCGACCUUGAAAUACCACCCUUUAAUGUUUGAUGUUCUAACGUGGACCCGUUACCCGGGUUGCGGACAGUGUCUGGUGGGUAGUUUGACUGGGGCGGUCUCCUCCUAAAGAGUAACGGAGGAGCACGAAGGUUGGCUAAUCCUGGUCGGACAUCAGGAGGUUAGUGCAAUGGCAUAAGCCAGCUUGACUGCGAGCGUGACGGCGCGAGCAGGUGCGAAAGCAGGUCAUAGUGAUCCGGUGGUUCUGAAUGGAAGGGCCAUCGCUCAACGGAUAAAAGGUACUCCGGGGAUAACAGGCUGAUACCGCCCAAGAGUUCAUAUCGACGGCGGUGUUUGGCACCUCGAUGUCGGCUCAUCACAUCCUGGGGCUGAAGUAGGUCCCAAGGGUAUGGCUGUUCGCCAUUUAAAGUGGUACGCGAGCUGGGUUUAGAACGUCGUGAGACAGUUCGGUCCCUAUCUGCCGUGGGCGCUGGAGAACUGAGGGGGGCUGCUCCUAGUACGAGAGGACCGGAGUGGACGCAUCACUGGUGUUCGGGUUGUCAUGCCAAUGGCACUGCCCGGUAGCUAAAUGCGGAAGAGAUAAGUGCUGAAAGCAUCUAAGCACGAAACUUGCCCCGAG
This 1541-nucleotide ribosomal RNA is filed under the name Salmonella enterica subsp. enterica serovar Enteritidis. RNAcentral describes it as "partial 23S ribosomal RNA". It matches the Rfam family "Bacterial large subunit ribosomal RNA", at positions 1279 to 2803 of the family's 2925-position model. Lineage: Bacteria; Pseudomonadati; Pseudomonadota; Gammaproteobacteria; Enterobacterales; Enterobacteriaceae. The record is from RNAcentral.